Molecule: RNA transcript, 2083 nt
Organism: Physeter macrocephalus (sperm whale)
Lineage: Eukaryota; Metazoa; Chordata; Mammalia; Artiodactyla; Physeteridae
Gene: EMC2
Gene name: ER membrane protein complex subunit 2
Exons: 12
Source: RefSeq, a predicted model, not a curated record
UCGGGUCUUGUGACCACGUCUCCCCGCUUUUUCGCCCGGUUGCCUCCAGGUUCUGAGAAGAUGGCGAAGGUCUCAGAGCUUUACGAUGUCACAUGGGAAGAAAUGCGAGAUAAAAUGAGAAAAUGGAGAGAAGAAAACUCAAGAAAUAGUGAGCAAAUCGUGGAAGUUGGAGAGGAAUUAAUUAAUGAAUAUGCUUCUAAGCUUGGAGAUGAUAUUUGGAUCAUAUAUGAACAGGUGAUGAUUGCGGCCCUCGACUAUGGUCGGGAUGACUUGUCAUUGUUUUGUCUUCAAGAGUUGAGAAGACAGUUCCCUGGCAGUCACAGAGUCAAGCGACUAACUGGCAUGAGAUUUGAAGCCAUGGAGAGAUAUGAUGAUGCUAUACAGCUAUAUGAUCGAAUUUUACAAGAAGAUCCAACUAACACUGCUGCAAGAAAGCGUAAGAUUGCCAUUCGAAAAGCCCAGGGGAAAAAUGUGGAGGCCAUUCGGGAACUGAAUGAGUAUCUGGAACAAUUUGUUGGAGACCAAGAAGCCUGGCAUGAACUUGCAGAACUUUAUAUCAAUGAACAUGACUAUGCUAAAGCAGCCUUUUGUUUAGAGGAGCUUAUGAUGACUAAUCCACACAACCACUUAUACUGUCAGCAGUAUGCUGAAGUUAAAUAUACCCAAGGUGGACUUGAAAAUCUUGAACUUUCAAGAAAGUAUUUUGCACAGGCAUUGAAACUGAACAACAGAAAUAUGAGAGCUUUGUUUGGACUUUACAUGUCUGCAAGUCAUAUUGCUUCUAAUCCAAAAGCAAGUGCAAAAACAAAAAAGGACAACAUGAAAUAUGCUAGUUGGGCAGCUAGUCAAAUAAACAGAGCUUAUCAGACUUAUUUUGUAGAGUCUCAGUGUUUUUUGGAAAGAGCUCUGAGAAUAUCAUCUGUGCUCUUCAGUCUUUGACUUUGGCACCAUAAACUCCAUAGUACCCAGUGAUGUUUUACACAUCUUUCCUGAAGCAUGCAGGAUCUUAGUUCCCUAACCAGGGAUCGAACCCGUUCCACCUGCAGUAGAAGCACAGAGUCUUAACCACUGCACCACCAGGGAAGUCCCAGUAACGGGUUUUUAAUAAAAUCUUUUGGUGCUUUUGAAAUUUUCAUCUCUAUGCUUUUUCUACAGAAGUUGGUGGUUUUCUUCAUGUGAAUCAGAUUUCAUAAAUAUUUGUAUCUAUUGCCUUUUGCUAACAUAGUGGUUUAAAAUAACGACUUAUUUGCUUAUGAAUCUGUAGGUAUCAUGUAGGCUUGCGCUCAGUUGAGUAAUUCUACAGGUCUAUAGUGGACUUAUUUUUUUUCUGCUCUAUGCUAGUGGUUGAUGGCCUCACUUAAAUGUCUGAUGGUUGGCUCUCUGUCAGCUGGGGGUGCUGGGCCUUGUAUUUCUCAUUUGGUGAGCUAACUUGGACUUAGUCACAUGAUGGUUUCAGGGUUCCAGGAGCAGCAAAGAGGCAAACUUCAGUGCCCAAGGGUGUUUUGAGCCUCUGGUUGUGUCACAUAUUGCUAAUAUUCCAUUGAGCAAAACAAGUCAUGUGGUGAACCCAGAUACAGGGGAUAUAAUAUUUCACCUCUCAAUCGGAAGAGAAAUAUGUGGUCAUUUGGCAGUUUAUUACAUUUUUGUAUAAUUCCAUAGUUCCAUCCUUCUGUUUUUGUUUAUUUUGCCUUUUUCUUUUUAUCUACUUUAUUGAGGUAUAGUUUACAUACAAUAACAUGCACACAUUUUAAGUGUACAGUUGAGUUUUGACAAAUGUAUACUCUCACCACUACCCCAUUCAAGACAUAGUUUCCAUCACCACAGAAAGUUCCCUUCUGCCACUUUGUAGUCAGCCCCAUUCCACACUGCAGACUAGCACUGAUUUGAUUUUCAUCACUAUAAAUUAGUUUUGCCUGUACUAGAACUUUGUAUAUAAAUGAGAUAGUAGAUUAUGUACUCUUUUGUGCAUUGCUUCUUUCACUCAACAUGUUUCUGAGAUUCAUCCAUCUACUUCUCCAUAUUAUUUAUCUUAUUACUUUGUCCACCCAUAUUAUUUUCCACAAACUGUGUAAAUUUGUGAAUU